UACGUAGGGGGCAAGCGUUGUCCGGAAUCAUUGGGCGUAAAGAGCGCGUAGGCGGUCCGGUAAGUCCGCUCUGAAAGCCCGGGGCUCAACCCCGGGAGGCGGGCGGAUACUGUCGGGCUAGAGUCCGGAAGAGGCGAGUGGAAUUCCUGGUGUAGCGGUGAAAUGCGCAGAUAUCAGGAGGAACACCAAUAGCGAAGGCAGCUCGCUGGGACGUUACUGACGCUGAGGCGCGAAAGCGUGGGGAGCGAACAGG
RNAcentral lists this ribosomal RNA (253 nucleotides) under uncultured bacterium. RNAcentral's name for it is "partial 16S ribosomal RNA". It matches the Rfam family "Bacterial small subunit ribosomal RNA", at positions 524 to 776 of the family's 1533-position model. The record is from RNAcentral.